GUGAACGCUGGCGGUAGGCCUAACACAUGCAAGUCGAACGGCAGCACAGUAAGAGCUUGCUCUUACGGGUGGCGAGUGGCGGACGGGUGAGGAAUACAUCGGAAUCUACUUUUUCGUGGGGGAUAACGUAGGGAAACUUACGCUAAUACCGCAUACGACCUACGGGUGAAAGCAGGGGAUCUUCGGACCUUGCGCGAUUGAAUGAGCCGAUGUCGGAUUAGCUAGUUGGCGGGGUAAAGGCCCACCAAGGCGACGAUCCGUAGCUGGUCUGAGAGGAUGAUCAGCCACACUGGAACUGAGACACGGUCCAGACUCCUACGGGAGGCAGCAGUGGGGAAUAUUGGACAAUGGGCGCAAGCCUGAUCCAGCCAUACCACGUGGGUGAAGAAGGCCUUCGGGUUGUAAAGCCCUUUUGUUGGGAAAGAAAAGCAGCAGGUUAAUACCCCGCUGUUCUGACGGUACCCAAAGAAUAAGCACCGGCUAACUUCGUG
RNAcentral lists this ribosomal RNA (491 nucleotides) under uncultured bacterium. RNAcentral's name for it is "partial 16S ribosomal RNA". It matches the Rfam family "Bacterial small subunit ribosomal RNA", at positions 29 to 507 of the family's 1533-position model. The record is from RNAcentral.